Long non-coding RNA from Alligator mississippiensis (American alligator), 1915 nucleotides. RefSeq lists it as uncharacterized. Lineage: Eukaryota; Metazoa; Chordata; Crocodylia; Alligatoridae. The record is from RefSeq and is a predicted model, not a curated record. The transcript is spliced from 2 exons.
GGCAGCAGGGGCAGACCCUUCAGCCUUCAGGCUGUAUGUUUGGAAGGCUGGCUUAGAUCACAGCUGAAACUGAGCUUGUGGUUGGCAAACCCUUGGCUGCAGACCCAAGCCACGUACAGGUGUUGUGUUUCUUCACUGCUCUCCCGAUAGAAACCACAAGCAUACAGUAUCAAGUUUCUCCUGCAGGAAACAUUUCUCCUGUGAAAGAGAGCAAGCUUCCUCUUUCAAGGAGGAAGAUAUCUCUUGUGGACAAGUUUCUCCUGCAGGAAAGACCCCUGGACACUUCCUUAGUCGCAUACAGCAUGAAAAAGCAGAAACACCUCUUGGAACAACAGCUUUUCACCCGAGAGCGCCGCAACUUGGUCUGAAAGCAUCGGGAAGGUACAAAGCAGCACACAUCAUGCCCUCUAAUUGCUCGUGGACGUGUGGGAGACAUGGACGAAUAACUCAUAAAUGUUAAUGAGACAUUUAAGCAUAAAUCACCUGUAUAUCAAGAUGAGGACAGCCCCCUGAAGUCCUUCUCCUAAGCACUCUAGGCUGUGACAAGGGGGUGAUAAGGUAUCCUACUUACCAGUGGCAUAAUUAGUUUCUGCCUUGUGUCCGCAGUUUUUGGCAAUUAGCAGAAAUGUCCCAUUUACUACCGUAGACAACCCGGAAUUCAUGUUUUGCUUGAUGUAACUCCUCCCACUCUAAUAUGCUGCAUUGUCCAUUCAUUUGCCUAAUUAUGUGUAUUACAACUGCAUAAGGCUCACUGUAGCAGCAGGGGUCCUUACUCUGGAAUGAGGAGGAUGAUUGUUCCAUCUGUUCCUUCUGAGCUGAAGGGAAAAGCUGAGGGGGGAGGAGGGGGUGAUGGUGGAGAGAGGAAUUACCAUUUAGUGCAGGUGUCUCUGGAAGGGGAAUCCCACUGCCAGGUGCCAACAGACAGCAUUGCCAACCUCCUGCGUAUGCUUAAUUACAGUAUAUUGAGACUUCCCAUGUAAAAUCAGGGCAGGCAGUUGCAACUGAAGUUUUGAAGCAGACACAGGGGAAUGCGGUUGCAAUGAAUCUAUCUCACUACGGAGACCCAUGUUCAUAAUUCUGGGAGAUUCAUAUCCCAUUCAAAAAUACUUGCCUGGAAUUAAAUGAUUAAUUUUAAAAUCGGAAUGUAGCAGAGUAAGCGCAGAAAAUAGCGUCACAAUAUUUGAGUCUGGGAAUCUGUGUUUAAAUGACGACAUUUUAAAAUGCAAAUAUGGCAGCCCUUAAUGAUAUAGGUCCUAAUUCAGGACAGCAUGUAAGCUCAGAUUUGAACGUAACCAGAGAGAGGUAACCAAAACUCAUAGGAGUGAAUGCAGGUUUGAAUUCUCAUUCUGGCGUUGCCUCAAACUGACAAUGAAGCCUUGGGUACAUUUCUGCAGUCCUGUCCUCAACAGCCCUUUCCCCUUUGCCAUUCCACUUAGUGUCCAAUUGCUAAUUCCACUUAGACCCUUUUCUGCCAUGCUGCUCACAGAUAAAUCUAGCUGACUUAUACCUAUAACAUCCCUCUAUACUCUUACCUGUUUGUCCAUUUGGCAGUGAGUAUUUUGAGGUCCUGUCUUGAGUAUGAAGAAAGCUCCAAGUCAGGGGUCAGCAACAUUUUUGGGCCGAGCGCCGAAACCAUCCACUGUCUCGACUUGUAAGAUGUUGGCGUGCCAGGGGUGGAUGGUGGGGGAGCCGCGAGGCACCUGAUACUCAUUAUGGCAGCACUUUCCCCAUUGUCUGCCACAAGGUGUGCAUGUCAAGCAAAAUGCCUUUGGAUGCCAUGCUCUGGCACCUGUGCCAGGGGUUACCUAUCUGUGCUCUAACUCAUUGUACUGUUGAAAUAAUGCAGGGAGAAAGGCUGGUGUAGACAAGACUUCUGCAAGGAUUGCCAUGUGUUAUAAAGUUACAGUGUCCUGGG